This is a long non-coding RNA of Onychostoma macrolepis, 1087 nucleotides long. RefSeq lists it as uncharacterized. NCBI's taxonomy places the organism in Eukaryota, Metazoa, Chordata, Actinopteri, Cypriniformes, Cyprinidae. The record is from RefSeq and is a predicted model, not a curated record. The transcript is spliced from 4 exons.
GACGCAGACAGACACGUCCUUGAUGUAAGCGAAAGCCAGUUGUUCUGCCACUUUGAACAACUUUGCAAUGAAAGGGCAGCGGGAGCUGAGUUGUUAUUUUCUUGCACCAAUGAGUGAUUUGGUCAUGGACUGAUAAGAUCUUUGGGACACUGCGAUGGCUGGGUUGAGAAGACUGGAGAAACGAAGAGCUGAGCCGUUUCUUCCACACAACAUUGUGUUGUUCAAACUGAACAUUACUCCAUGCACACUGGAAGCCUGCAUGGAGAUGGUGGGGCUCUAAUGCUUACUUUCAGACAGCCUUUCUCUGUGAGUGAAAACCCAUGACGCAGUCUGAGUGCAGGUUCAUCAAGGAAAAAGUUCAUGACCAUUUCAGAUCUUCCAACGCAUGGUAUAUUUCUAGCAGCCCGAGCUUCAUCUCCAAGGAAAACCAGGUCAUUUGCAACUAAAUAGACUCUGAAAACAGAUGUAAUGUGAAGCCGCUCCUGAUGACACACUGCCUGUCAUGACCUCAUAUUUUACUGACCACCUGCUUUGUCCAGAUCAACAGUCAAAUGGUGAUGUUUGUGAUUAUUUCUGCCCUGUUCCACCUGGUAAUGGGGAAGAGGAAGUCGGGAAUGAUGGCCUCGCUCCUCGUUCAUUCAUCUAGUGCACCUUCCUCAGUUAGCUGUGAGCCAGCUCUGGGUCAAGGAAGUGCCCUGAAAUCCAGUCUGUCCACCCAACAAGAAUGUAAAAAACAAGGAAAGGCCUCUGUCUAGGAGUGUGUCUGUAACCUUGCUUUGACUCGCUCUGACAAUCUCUCUGGAUUCUCAGGACAAUCUCAGAACUCUGGAUUUACCCAAGUCGUAUGAUCACCAAAUCUAAAUGUAUUUAAUAAAACAUACAGUAAACACAGUAAUAAUGUGAAAUUGUAACUAUUUUCUGUUUUAAUAUAUUUUCAAAUGUAAUUUAUUCCUGUGAUGGAAAAGCAGAAAUUUCAGGAUACUAUGAUCAACAGAAUGUUCAGUACAGUAUUUAUUUGAAAUAUAUAUAUUUUUUUACAUUAUACAAUUUUGACAUUAUUUAUAUUAUACAUUUCUUUAGCCUCACU